GACGAACGCUGGCGGCGUGCUUAACACAUGCAAGUCGGACGGAAAGGCCUGCUUUCCCUUGUGGAUUGCGGGUACUCGAGUGGCGAACGGGUGAGUAACACGUGAGUGAUCUGCCCCCAACUUGGGUAUAAGCCUGGGAAACUGGGUCUAAUUCCCGAUAGGACUGCAGGGUGGUGCCUGUGGUGGAAAACGAUUUUCUAGUGGUUGGGGAUGAGCUCGCGGCCUAUCAGCUUGUUGGUGGGGUAAUGGCCUACCAAGGCGGCGACGGGUAGCCGGCCUGAGAGGGUGGACGGCCACAUUGGGACUGAGAUACGGCCCAGACUCCUACGGGAGGCAGCAGUGGGGAAUAUUGCACAAUGGGCGGAAGCCUGAUGCAGCGACGCCGCGUGGGGGAUGACGGCCUUCGGGUUGUAAACUCCUUUCGACCGCGAGGAAGCCACCUGGUUGGAAGGGUGGUGACGGUAGUGGUAGAAGAAGCACCGGCUAACUACGUG
RNAcentral lists this ribosomal RNA (494 nucleotides) under uncultured bacterium. RNAcentral describes it as "partial 16S ribosomal RNA". It matches the Rfam family "Bacterial small subunit ribosomal RNA", at positions 28 to 507 of the family's 1533-position model. The record is from RNAcentral.